GCUCUAAUAGCUUAAACACAAAGCAUUGUUCUUGUAAACCAAAUCUGGGUUAAACCUAUUGAGCA
RNAcentral lists this transfer RNA (65 nucleotides) under Python molurus molurus. Its description in RNAcentral is "tRNA-Thr". The record is from RNAcentral. Lineage: Eukaryota; Metazoa; Chordata; Lepidosauria; Squamata; Pythonidae.